This 28-nucleotide non-coding RNA is filed under the name Homo sapiens (human). Lineage: Eukaryota; Metazoa; Chordata; Mammalia; Primates; Hominidae. The record is from RNAcentral.
UGCAGGGAAGCAGCCUCUGAAAUCGUGC